GCCCUGUUAGCUCAGUAGGUGGAGUACUAGACUCUUAAUGUGGCUGGCUUGGGUUCGAGUCCUGCAUCAGGCU
Non-coding RNA from Angiostrongylus cantonensis (rat lungworm), 73 nucleotides. Lineage: Eukaryota; Metazoa; Nematoda; Chromadorea; Rhabditida; Metastrongylidae. The record is from Rfam.